RNAcentral lists this ribosomal RNA (448 nucleotides) under uncultured bacterium. RNAcentral's name for it is "SSU rRNA". It matches the Rfam family "Bacterial small subunit ribosomal RNA", at positions 26 to 518 of the family's 1533-position model. The record is from RNAcentral.
AGAACGAACGCUGGCGGCAGGCUUAACACAUGCAAGUCGAACGGUUGUAGCAAUACAGCAGUGGCGCACGGGUGAGUAACGCGUGGGAACAUCCCUUUCAGUUCGGAAUAACCUCGGGAAACUGAGGCUAAUACCGGAUAUUCUCUUCGGAGGAAAGAUUUAUCGCUGAAAGAUUGGCCCGCGUCAGAUUAGCUAGUUGGUGGGGUAAUGGCCUACCAAGGCUUCGAUCUGUAGCUGGUCUGAGAGGACGACCAGCCACACUGGAACUGAGACACGGUCCAGACUCCUACGGGAGGCAGCAGUGGGGAAUAUUGGACAAUGGGCGAAAGCCUGAUCCAGCCAUGCCGCGUGAAUGAUGAAGGCCUUAGGGUUGUAAAGUUCUUUUGCCAGGGAAGAUAAUGACGGUACCUGGAGAAUAAGCACCGGCUAACUUCGCGCCAGCAGCCGC